UGGGGAAUAUUGCACAAUGGGCGCAAGCCUGAUGCAGCCAUGCCGCGUGUGUGAAGAAGGCCUUCGGGUUGUAAAGCACUUUCAGCGGGGAAGAAGGCGAUAAGGUUAAUAACCUUGUCGAUUGACGUUACCCGCAGAAGAAGCACCGGCUAACUCCGUGCCAGCAGCCGCGGUAAUACGGAGGGUGCAAGCGUUAAUCGGAAUUACUGGGCGUAAAGCGCACGCAGGCGGUCUGUCAAGUCGGAUGUGAAAUCCCCGGGCUUAACCUGGGAACUGCAUUCGAAACUGGCAGGCUAGAGUCUUGUAGAGGGGGGUAGAAUUCCAGGUGUAGCGGUGAAAUGCGUAGAGAUCUGGAGGAAUACCGGUGGCGAAGGCGGCCCCCUGGACAAAGACUGACGCUCAGGUGCGAAAGCGUGGGGAGCAAACAGG
RNAcentral lists this ribosomal RNA (429 nucleotides) under Chloroflexota bacterium. Its description in RNAcentral is "Chloroflexi bacterium partial 16S ribosomal RNA". It matches the Rfam family "Bacterial small subunit ribosomal RNA", at positions 355 to 776 of the family's 1533-position model. Lineage: Bacteria; Bacillati; Chloroflexota. The record is from RNAcentral.